GUGGGGAAUCUUCCGCAAUGGACGAAAGUCUGACGGAGCAACGCCGCGUGAGUGAAGAAGGUUUUCGGAUCGUAAAGCUCUUUCGUUAGGGACGAACGUGCUCUUUGUGAAUAAUGAGGAGUAAUGACGGUACCUAAAUAAGAAGCCACGGCUAACUACGUGCCAGCAGCCGCGGUAAUACGUAGGUGGCAAGCGUUGACCGGAAUUAUUGGGCGUAAAGCGCGCGCAGGCGGGAUAUCAAGUCUGUCUUAAAAGUGCGAGGCUCAACCUCGUGAGGGGACAGAAACUGGUAUUCUUGAGUGUCGGAGAGGAAAGUGGAAUUCCAAGUGUAGCGGUGAAAUGCGUAGAGAUUUGGAAGAACACCAGUGGCGAAGGCGACUUUCUGGACGAUGUCUGACGCUGAGGCGCGAAAGCUAGGGGAGCGAACGGGAUUAGAUACCCCUGUAGUCC
This 450-nucleotide ribosomal RNA is filed under the name uncultured bacterium. Its description in RNAcentral is "partial 16S ribosomal RNA". It matches the Rfam family "Bacterial small subunit ribosomal RNA", at positions 354 to 796 of the family's 1533-position model. The record is from RNAcentral.